Oncorhynchus kisutch (coho salmon) is the source of this 2435-nucleotide long non-coding RNA. RefSeq lists it as uncharacterized. The record is from RefSeq and is a predicted model, not a curated record. NCBI's taxonomy places the organism in Eukaryota, Metazoa, Chordata, Actinopteri, Salmoniformes, Salmonidae. The transcript is spliced from 4 exons.
UUUCCUUGGGUUCCCUUGCUGGAAGCCAACAAUCUUCUCCAGUUGGAACAGUCGGACGGUUGACCACUGAAAGCCCUGUUGGCCUACACUUCCGUGAAGUCCAUGAGACAAAGACCAUUGACUGUCCAAGCCACCCAUGAGGUAUACCAUCUACCAGAGCCAGUGAGUUCGGAUCAGUCUGAUGAUUCUCUGUGCUCGGAGGGGGACCAGCUUGAGGUGGCUUGUGUCGACUGGAGGAACAGGGGCAGAUACACAGAUGAACUAAAAACACUAGCACUGCAGACACUCAGAACAAAGAAAGCAGCAGUGCCUGGACUUGGCAGUCUCCCUCUUUGAGUCCUCCUUCCGAGACUGGCUGCCUGUUGAGAACAAGUGACAGGCAGAACCUCCCACGCACACAGAAGUGACCUCUUCUCUAUUACACACACCAACAUUUUGUAUUGCAGUCUAUGAUUACCAUGUGAGUGUACAAAAAAUCUGUGAAAAUAAAGGAAUGCCACACUUGUACCAAAAAAAAGUUAAAAAUAUAUUUCAAUAUUGCCAGGUUGGUUUUCACAGCUGUUUCAUAAGGUGUUCAUUGUUGUAAAUGAUAAGGUAUCCCUUGAUGGUAUUUGUUAGUUCAACAUUAUUCAUUGCUGUAUCCUAGGACCUACAAUAGAUACAUAUAAUGAGCUAUGCGAGAUAGAAAGAAAUGAAUCAUAAUAGAGGACUGAAAUGAUAUUAUUUCACUGUAGAUGAGGGAAGGGCAGGUUGAAAUAAAAACAUGGCAGUCAGACAAGCCAGUGUAUGAAUCAAACGGAUUUGCAUAUGAAUGGAGCAGAAAUUUGCUGACUUUGUGAUCUGUAAGGUAAGUAACAUUGACGUGUCAAGCAGAUUAAACAUUUGCUUUGCUAUUUCCGAAAUGUAGCAAUGUUUAUGACAUGGACUUCAUGUUGUUGAAAUGUUAACAAAGUACCCCAAAGUAGUUUGAAGUAAUGGUUUCAUCUUAUUAGCUAAGCAAAACUAGUUUAAACAGCUAAAUUGUCGCAGAACUCAGCUUUGCUUGUACUGUGGGGAUGAAAAGAACGUAAUUUAGGCUGUAAUGAUCUCCAAAAUUCAAUGCAUUAGCUCAUCAUACCAUCUAUAUAGCAACGGACACUAAUAGUUUAGCGAAUCCCACUGUGAAGCAGGGGGGGACACUUUUUGGUAGAGGGACACUAUUUGGCAUGACAGAUCCCCUGGAGGUCAGGGCAGCUGACAAGAAGAGGAAAACUGUUGAUGCACAAACAAAUUAAGAAAUUGCACCUUGUGUAUUGUACUAUUAACAGCUCAACAGUAAGUCAAGACCCCUUUUUUGGUCAGCGGCCCCUUAGUUGCCGGUGGCCCUAGGUGUCUGCCUAUGUCGCUUAGGGCCGAUCAUGUUAGUCUGCACUAUGCUAUAGUGGCAGUGUUUGUACUGGUUUUCUUUGGUGUAUGUAGCAAAAUGUGCUUUCCUAGCUCACAUGCCCUUGCGACUGUCUGAUCAUCCAUCAGCUUUACCGCUUUCCCAUAGAAAUCAUACUAUACUGUAGCCUACAUAUGAAGGUUCAUGACAGUCAUGCGAUCCAGCCAUGUCCACAUCCCUCAUGCAGCAGCUGCACCAGGAGCAGCUGCUUUUUAUUGGAGUUUUUUGAAUCCCCCCAGAAUGUUUCUGGCACAUCAUGAAAUGAUAAGUGUUAAUCAGAGAUCAGAGUCAGACCACGCCAAGGUAGCUGAAGGCAAUGAAGGACAAUCCCAAAGAAUGGUCUUAAUACAUUCCUAGAAGUGCAUGACCUAGAUAUAAUUGUAUUAUCAACUCCUGCAACUUUAUUUUAGUAGGAAAAUCUCAUAUCUGCUGAGAUAAGUCAAAAUGGCAAGGAAAUUGCCUGACAAAAGUUGAGAGGAAAUAUUCCUCAUUGUGCAACAGUCUUAAUUCAAUUGACUUAUUCUGUCCCAUGAGUCGAUAGCCAUUUCCCCUGUCUCAUCUAGCCAUGGUUGAUUUAUAAUAUUCCAAGGCAGAGUAGUUUCUGGAGAGCAGUUUAAAUAAAGGGUUUUUAAGUUAGUAUUGUUCCAUUCUCACAACCCUGAGAGUACUCAGGGGGUCCUCUCGUCCUCUCUCCUAUUGUGGGUUAUGCAUAUUCAGCAAUAGGCUUGCUCGUUGAGAGAAAUGCUAGCCUCUACUGUCAUGGCAAAUAAACACAAAAGCAACCAUAAUUGUUCCUGUAGAUCCAUAAAAAUCCCAAUAAACAAUUCCGUCAUUGAUUCUAUAAUGCUGUUGUCUUGUUAUUGUUAAAUCUUUCUUGAAAGCCAAACAUUAGAGGGACUCAAUGGCUUCCUUUGAAGCAACAUUUACAUAUUUGUCACGUUCUGACCUUAGUUCCUUUUUUAUGUCUCUAUUUUGGUUUGGUCAGGGCGUGAAUUGGGUUGGGCAUUCUAUG